This 936-nucleotide ribosomal RNA is filed under the name Lactarius rufus. RNAcentral's name for it is "partial large subunit ribosomal RNA". It matches the Rfam family "Eukaryotic large subunit ribosomal RNA", at positions 40 to 954 of the family's 3401-position model. Lineage: Eukaryota; Fungi; Basidiomycota; Agaricomycetes; Russulales; Russulaceae. The record is from RNAcentral.
AUAUCAAUAAGCGGAGGAAAAGAAACUAACAAGGAUUCCCCUAGUAACUGCGAGUGAAGCGGGAAAAGCUCAAAUUUAAAAUCUGGCGGUCUUUGGCCGUCCGAGUUGUAAUUUAGAGAAGCGUCUUCCGCGCUGGACCGUGCACAAGUCUCCUGGAAUGGAGCGUCAUAGAGGGUGAGAAUCCCGUCUUUGGCACGGAUGCCUGGUGCUUCUGUGAUGCGCUCUCGAAGAGUCGAGUUGUUUGGGAAUGCAGCUCAAAAUGGGUGGUGAACUCCAUCUAAAGCUAAAUAUUGGCGAGAGACCGAUAGCGAACAAGUACCGUGAGGGAAAGAUGAAAAGCACUUUGGAAAGAGAGUGAAACAGUACGUGAAAUUGUUGAAAGGGAAACGCUUGAAGUCAGUCGCGUCGACCGAGACUCAGCCUUGCCUUGGCUUGGUGUACUUCUCGGCCCGACGGGUCAGCAUCAAUUUUGCCCCUCGGAUAAUGGCAGGGGAAAGGUGGCACCUUUACGGGUGUGUUAUAGUCUCCUGUCGAAUGCGAGGGGUGGGAUUGAGGAACUCAGCGCGCACCUCAGUGUCGGGGCUUCGGCCCACGUCACGCGCUUAGGAUGCUGGCGUAAUGGCUUUAAACGACCCGUCUUGAAACACGGACCAAGGAGUCCAACACGCCCGCGAGUGUUCGGGUGGAAAACCCGUGCGCGUAAUGAAAGUGAAAGUUGGGACCUCUGUCGUGGAGGGCACCGACGCCCGGACCAGACCUUCUGUGACGGAUCUGCGGUAGAGCGUGUGUGUUGGGACCCGAAAGAUGGUGAACUAUGCCUGAAUAGGGUGAAGCCAGAGGAAACUCUGGUGGAGGCUCGUAGCGAUUCUGACGUGCAAAUCGAUCGUCAAAUUUGGGUAUAGGGGCGAAAGACUAAUCGAACCAUCUAGUAGCUGG